This 253-nucleotide ribosomal RNA is filed under the name uncultured bacterium. RNAcentral's name for it is "partial 16S ribosomal RNA". It matches the Rfam family "Bacterial small subunit ribosomal RNA", at positions 524 to 776 of the family's 1533-position model. The record is from RNAcentral.
UACGUAGGUGGCAAGCGUUGUCCGGAUUUAUUGGGCUUAAAGGGUGCGUAGGCGGUCUAUUAAGUCAGCGGUGAAAUAUGGCAGCUUAACUGUCAAGGUGCCAUUGAUACUGAUGGACUUGAGUGAAGUCGAGGUUGGCGGAAUUGACGGUGUAGCGGUGAAAUGCGUAGAUAUCCGGAGGAAUACCAAAGGCGAAGGCAGUGUCCUGGCUGGCAACUGACGCUGAGGCGCGAAAGCUAGGGGAGCGAGCAGG